GCUUAACACAUGCAAGUCGAACGAAAAGACGGAAAGAGCUUGCUCUUUUCAGAAUUGAGUGGCAAACGGGUGAGUAACACGUAAACAACCUGCCUUCAGGAUGGGGACAACAGACGGAAACGACUGCUAAUACCGAAUAAGUUCCAAGAGCCGCAUGGCCCAUGGAAGAAAAGGUGGCCUCUACCUGUAAGCUAUCGCCUGAAGAGGGGUUUGCGUCUGAUUAGCUGGUUGGAGGGGUAACGGCCCACCAAGGCGACGAUCAGUAGCCGGUCUGAGAGGAUGAACGGCCACACUGGAACUGAGACACGGUCCAGACUCCUACGGGAGGCAGCAGUGGGGAAUCUUCCGCAAUGGGCGAAAGCCUGACGGAGCAACGCCGCGUGAGUGAUGACGGCCUUCGGGUUGUAAAACUCUGUGAUCCGGGACGAAAAGGCAGAGUGCGAAGAACAAACUGCAUUGACGGUACCGGAAAAGCAAGCCACGGCUAACUACGUGCCAGCAGCCGCGGUAAUACGUAGGUGGCAAGCGUUGUCCGGAAUUAUUGGGCGUAAAGCGCGCGCAGGCGGCUUCCCAAGUCCCUCUUAAAAGUGCGGGGCUUAACCCCGUGAUGGGAAGGAAACUGGGAAGCUGGAGUAUCGGAGAGGAAAGUGGAAUUCCUAGUGUAGCGGUGAAAUGCGUAGAGAUUAGGAAGAACACCGGUGGCGAAGGCGACUUUCUGGACGAAAACUGACGCUGAGGCGCGAAAGCGUGGGGAGCAAACAGGAUUAGAUACCCUGGUAGUCCACGCCGUAAACGAUG
RNAcentral lists this ribosomal RNA (798 nucleotides) under uncultured bacterium. RNAcentral describes it as "bacterial SSU rRNA". It matches the Rfam family "Bacterial small subunit ribosomal RNA", at positions 46 to 811 of the family's 1533-position model. The record is from RNAcentral.